GAGGCUGGAAUGAAGGAACAUACGAGAGUAAAACUGUUUCAUUUUUACCUAAUGAAAACUAACCUCUAGAUGAAGAGAUCUAGAUAACUAAGAAAGACAAAAAGACCCUAUUGAGCUUUACCCUACCAGAAUUCCCCCAAAGUGAAUCUAUUUAAUAAAUUCUGAGCGGGUUUUGUUGGGGCGACAGAAGAAGAACUAAAUCUUCUUUAUUUAAUGAGGUAAUAAACCUAAUAAUGAUCCGGAACCCCCGAUUAAAAG
RNAcentral lists this ribosomal RNA (258 nucleotides) under Scolelepis sp. GF-12265_17512. RNAcentral describes it as "partial large subunit ribosomal RNA". Lineage: Eukaryota; Metazoa; Annelida; Polychaeta; Spionida; Spionidae. The record is from RNAcentral.